This 162-nucleotide ribosomal RNA is filed under the name Nitrospinaceae bacterium. RNAcentral describes it as "partial 16S ribosomal RNA". It matches the Rfam family "Bacterial small subunit ribosomal RNA", at positions 1362 to 1533 of the family's 1533-position model. The record is from RNAcentral. Lineage: Bacteria; Pseudomonadati; Nitrospinota; Nitrospinia; Nitrospinales; Nitrospinaceae.
GUGAAUGCGUUCCCGGGUCUUGUACACACCGCCCGUCACACCAUGGGAGUUGGUUCUACCUUAAGGCAAGGUUUCAAACCCUUGACCACGGUAUAGUCAGCGACUGGGGUGAAGUCGUAACAAGGUAGCCGUAGGGGAACCUGCGGCUGGAUUACCUCCUUU